This is an RNA transcript of Cornus florida, 3111 nucleotides long. It is a transcript of the gene named apoptosis inhibitor 5-like protein API5, with no coding region annotated. Lineage: Eukaryota; Viridiplantae; Streptophyta; Magnoliopsida; Cornales; Cornaceae. The transcript has 14 exons. The record is from RefSeq and is a predicted model, not a curated record.
UUGUAACCCUCAGGAGUACUAUUCAAUACCCAAAAAUCGAUCUUUAUACACACAGUCACACACACACAUACAUAUAUUUAUGCAUUUAUAAUUUUAUAUAUACACAGAUUACACGAACCAGUGAAUCUGUACCAGCCGAUUCUGCUCCUCAGAUUCAAUUAGCAAUGACUGACGUCUUUGACGACUCCAAAGACAUCGAGAACCUCUACGAGUACGGCGAACGACUCAACGAAGCCAAAGACAAGUCCCAGCAUGUUGACGACUACGACAAAAUUAUCCAGGCGGCCAAAAGUAAGAGCAUUAAGGCCAGGCAGUUAGCUGCGCAGCUCAUUCCCAGGUUCUUCAAGUUCUUCCCGGGACUUUCAGACUCAGCAGUUGAUUCACAUCUCGAUUUGUGCGAAGCAGAGGAGCUCGGGGUCAGGGUACAGGCAAUUCGUGGACUCCCUCUUUUUUGCAAGGAUACUCCGGAGCAUCUUUCUAAAAUUGUAGACAUUCUUGCACAACUCCUUACAGCCGAAGAAAAUGUGGAGCGUGAUGCCGUGCAUAAAGCUCUUCUGUCCUUAUUGAGGCAGGAUGUGAAAGCUUCUUUGACAGCCCUAUUUAAGCACAUUGAGAGCGUUGAUGAACCGGGCACGGAUGAAAAUCUUCGUGAGAGGACCCUAAUCUUUAUUAAAGAUAAGGUUUUUCCUCUUAAAGCUGAGCUCUUGAAACCUCAGGAGGAAAUGGAAAGGCAUAUAACUAAUUUGAUAAAAAAAAGUUUGCAAGAUGUGACGGGAGCUGAAUUUAAAAUGUUUAUGGACUUCUUAAAAAGUUUGAAUAUAUUUGGAGAGAAAGCUCCUCCAGAGCGUGUGCAAGAGCUCAUUGAAAUUAUUGAAGGGCAAGCUGAUCUAAAUGCACAGUUCAAUGUUUCAGAUGGGGACCACAUUGAUAGAUUAAUAUCUUGCCUGUACAUGGCUCUUCCUUUUUUUGUGCGGGGUGCAUCCAAUAGCAAGUUUAUCAUCUAUUUGAACAAGCACAUUUUGCCUGUUUUUGAUAAGGUAAUAUCGCACCUACCAUAUCAAAUUCUUCCUGAAGAACGCAAAGUAGACUUGCUCAAAAACCUUGCAGAAAGUUCACCUUACACAAUUCCACAGGACUCACGACAAAUUCUCCCCCUUGUUGUUCAGCUCUUAAAGAAGUACAUGCCUCGGAGAAAAACUGGAGAAGAGAUGAACUUUACUUAUGUUGAGUGCUUGUUGUACACAUUUCACCAUUUGGCUCACAAGGCUCCAAAUGCCACUAAUAGUUUAUGUGGUUACAAGAUAGUGACUGGCCAACCAUCAGAUAGGCUUGGGGAGGAUUUCUCAGAGUAUUACAAAGAUUUCACUGAGAGGUUCAGAAUUUCAGGUACAAGUACAACUGGGGGGAAAGAAGUGGUCUCUUUGAUGCUCAUCUUUCUGUCUUCUUCAGGGGAUUUAAUAACAGACCUGUAUCUCUGCAACUCUAGAAACUACUCCUGAUUUUAGUCGAGACAUUUUGUUGAUACGGGGUAUUGAAACUACCACUCAGUUAACUUCGAUAAUUUGUUUAUUUGACUGAUUAUUUGGAACUUGGACACAUAUAAAAGGUGGGCUGACUUAGGGUGGAGGAGCAUUAUGGAUGUUUUCUUUGUCAGACUGUUAGCUGCACAAUUGCUAUUUCUCUGGGGAAGAAGGUAAAGCCACGAUGGUCUGGGAGGAGAGAGUUGAUAGUACCAGAGGCUCAUAUCUGCUAAAAGAAAAUAAGCCUUGGGUGGACUGUGGACCCAAAAUUAAAAGUCAUGUAGUUUUGAUUGGUGGAUAGUUUUCUCCGACUUUACACAAGGUUGCAUCAGCAUGGUAACCUUGCUCUUUAUUUACUGCAUUUUGUCAAUUCUCUUGGCUAUUGGAGCAUUUGCUUUCAGUUUGGAAGAUGUUGAUGUCAAAACUGUGGGACUGGCGAUUCGUAGUACAUUACAACCUAGAAAAGCCUUCUUUACCGACUACCAGUGUGCUCAGUUGAAAAGAUCCUCUCUUGCCAUUCAACUCUAUCUUGUCGGUAUGAAAUCAAAGUUAUCAUGUUUUCCUCCUGUUAUGACAAACAUUUUUUAUGGCCUUCCUUUGAUUUUGUGGUGCCUUUGAAUUGAAUUAAUCACCUUUUUCUAUAUUCCACUUCCAGAUUUACAAUUUUCAUUAUUAUUGCUUCACUUCUUUCUUCAUCCCUUUGUUGGAUCCUGUAUCCCUUAUUCUCCUUGCCCCACUAUGCAUCCAUCGCCAAAAAAAUUUCUAUUAUUGUUUUCCUUCCCUGAUGUAUAUUUUCGCAGUGUCAUAUGUUGUUUCAUCAUGGAUGUGCAGUAAUCUCUGAAAGGGCAACAUCAACUUGAUGGUCUCCUAUGUGAUUUUACUUGGGAAAGUCUCAAAAGCCCUAGUGCUUGACACCAGUUUUAGUGAUGACUAUAUAGGGAUGGCAAUGAGGAUUUUUAGUUUGGUGUCAUGGCCUGAGAUGCCUCUACUGAGACAGUUCUGGGUGACCAUUAAUUGGACUAGUGUUAGGUUGGGAGAAGAUCAUAGACCUGAUCUGGGUUUGGUUUAGUACUGUUUCCAUGGUUUCCAGCUGCAAACCUACCCCAGUACUAGCUAUUAUUGAGAAUCCUGGCCCCCUUUUAUAAUUUUUGGCUACCUAAUUUUGAUGGUUAAAAGAUGAGAGUAAAUCAGUGGUGCUUUGAAUUCCAGUUCUUUUGCUGCUUGGCGACAAUGCCAGAGGUCCUUGUUCGUUGACACUCCGAUCACUAAUUUUCUUAGUGGAGGUUCCAGAGUUCAUUAUCUGUAAUGGGUUUUAUUUGUGAUGAAGUGUCAUUUUCAAAUUAAGAAGAGCUGCGCCACGGAAGAUAUCACAAUCUAUCAUUUCAUAUCCAAGAUCGAGAUCAAGAUAUCAUCAAUUGUCAUAAUUCUUGUCUCUGCAUGAUUGAAGGCUCGUCUAUGAUCAUGUUGGAAAUCAUUGCUAAGCAGCGUCGAAGAGCUAGCUAGGGCCACCAUGAAGAAAUUAACACAGGGUAUGGCUGAGCACAACAAAUCAAUGGCUAGUGCAAAAUCUGAUGAAGCAAAGGCUAGCAUU